RNAcentral lists this ribosomal RNA (495 nucleotides) under uncultured bacterium. RNAcentral describes it as "partial 16S ribosomal RNA". It matches the Rfam family "Bacterial small subunit ribosomal RNA", at positions 28 to 507 of the family's 1533-position model. The record is from RNAcentral.
GAUGAACGCUGGCGGCGUGCCUAAUACAUGCAAGUAGAACGCUGAAGGAGGAGCUUGCUCUUCUGGAUGAGUUGCGAACGGGUGAGUAACGCGUAGGUAACCUGCCUGGUAGCGGGGGAUAACUAUUGGAAACGAUAGCUAAUACCGCAUGACAACAGUUAUUGCAUGAUAACUGUUUAAAAGGGGCAACUGCUCCACUACCAGAUGGACCUGCGUUGUAUUAGCUAGUUGGUGAGGUAACGGCUCACCAAGGCGACGAUACAUAGCCGACCUGAGAGGGGGAUCGGCCACACUGGGACUGGGACACGGCCCAGACUCCUACGGGAGGCAGCAGGAGGGAAUCUUCGGCAAUGGACGGAAGUCUGACCGAGCAACGCCGCGUGAGUGAAGAAGGUUUUCGGAUCGUAAAGCUCUGUUGUAAGAGAAGAACGAGUGUGAGAGUGGAAAGUUCACACUGUGACGGUAUCUUACCAGAAAGGGACGGCUAACUACGUG